UUUCCGUAGGUGAACCUGCGGAAGGAUCAUUAAUGAGUUGUCAUGGGGUUCGAUGCUGGCAGCCAAUUUUUGGAUGCAUGUGCUUGCCCUAACAAUCAUCUUCCAAACACCUGUGCACAUUUUUGAGGGAGUCCUGAGUUGGUUGCCGCUCUUGGGUGAUUUUCUCACAUUCCCUUAAAUCAUUAUACGCUAUUAACAAUGUUGAACGUGCUCUGUGCCGCAAGGCUAUUAAUAUAAUACAACUUUUAACAACGGAUCUCUUGGCUCUC
Molecule: unclassified non-coding RNA, 269 nt
Filed under: plant metagenome
Description: partial contains small subunit ribosomal RNA, internal transcribed spacer 1, and 5.8S ribosomal RNA
Source: RNAcentral